Molecule: ribosomal RNA, 346 nt
Filed under: Afronurus yoshidae
Lineage: Eukaryota; Metazoa; Arthropoda; Insecta; Ephemeroptera; Heptageniidae
Description: partial 16S ribosomal RNA
Rfam family: Archaeal large subunit ribosomal RNA
Source: RNAcentral
AACAUCGCCUUUUGAAAGAAUAGAAGGUCUAACCUGCCCACUGAAUAAGUUAAAGGGCCGCGGUAUUUUGACCGUGCAAAGGUAGCAUAAUCAUUAGUCUUCUAAUUAAAGGCUGGAAUGAAUGGUUGGACGAGGUUCUAGCUGUCUCACUAAAAUAAAUUUGAAUUUAGCUUUUUAGUCAAAAGGCUAAAAUAUAGUUGGAGGACGAGAAGACCCUAUAGAGCUUUACGUUGGACUUUUUUAACUUGUUUAGGAUGAUUUUAGUUUUAAAGGAUAAGCGUUUCGUUGGGGUGACGGGAAGAUAAAAUAAACUCUUUUUAAUUUUUAACAUUGAUGUAUGAAUUAG